RNAcentral lists this ribosomal RNA (439 nucleotides) under uncultured bacterium. Its description in RNAcentral is "partial 16S ribosomal RNA". It matches the Rfam family "Bacterial small subunit ribosomal RNA", at positions 339 to 795 of the family's 1533-position model. The record is from RNAcentral.
CUACGGGGUGCUCCAGUGGGGAAUAUUGCACAAUGGAGGAAACUCUGAUGCAGCAACGCCGCGUGGAGGAUGACACUUUUCGGAGCGUAAACUCCUUUUAUAUAGGAAGAAGAUGACGGUACUAUAUGAAUAAGCGCAGGAUAACUCCGUGCCAGCAGCCGCGGUAAUACGGAGGGCGCAAGCGUUACUCGGAAUCACUGGGCGUAAAGAGCGUGUAGGCGGAUUAAAAAGUCAGAAGUGAAAUCCUAUAGCUUAACUAUAGAACUGCUUCUGAAACUCUUAAUCUAGAAUAUGGGAGAGGUAGAUGGAAUUUCUGGUGUAGGGGUAAAAUCCGUAGAGAUCAGAAGGAAUACCGAUUGCGAAGGCGAUCUACUAGAGCAUUAUUGACGCUGAGACGCGAAAGCGUGGGGAGCAAACAGGAUUAGAUACCCCCGUAGUC